This 467-nucleotide ribosomal RNA is filed under the name uncultured bacterium. RNAcentral describes it as "partial 16S ribosomal RNA". It matches the Rfam family "Bacterial small subunit ribosomal RNA", at positions 28 to 507 of the family's 1533-position model. The record is from RNAcentral.
GACGAACGCUGGCGGCGUGCUUAACACAUGCAAGUCGAACGGAAAGGCUCCAGCUUGCUGGAGUACUCGAGUGGCGAACGGGUGAGUAACACGUGGGUAAUCUGCCCUGCACUCUGGGAUAAGCCUGGGAAACUGGGUCUAAUACUGGAUAUGACCUUUCUCCUUAUGAGGUUUGGUGGAAAGUUUUUCGGUGUAGGAUGAGCCCGCGGCCUAUCAGCUUGUUGGUGGGGUGAUGGCCUACCAAGGCGACGACGGGUAGCCGGCCUGAGAGGGUGAUCGGCCACAUGGGGACUGGGAUAGGGCCAAGACCCCAAGGGGGGGCAAGAGGGGGAAAUAGGGCACAGUGGGCGGAAGCCGGAGAAGGGGGCCCGCGGUGGGCGAUGAGGGCUUGGGGGUGUGAAACCCUUUUCAGGGGGGAAGGAGAGGAAGGGACGGUACCUAAAGAAGAAGACCGGGCUAACUAUGGG